UAACCUGCCUUGGAGUGGGGAAUAACAGCUGGAAACAGCUGCUAAUACCGCAUGAUGCAGUUGGGUCGCAUGGCUCUGACUGCCAAAGAUUUAUCGCUCUGAGAUGGACUCGCGUCUGAUUAGCUAGUUGGCGGGGUAACGGCCCACCAAGGCGACGAUCAGUAGCCGGACUGAGAGGUUGGCCGGCCACAUUGGGACUGAGACACGGCCCAGACUCCUACGGAAGGCAGCAG
This 233-nucleotide ribosomal RNA is filed under the name uncultured bacterium. Its description in RNAcentral is "partial 16S ribosomal RNA". It matches the Rfam family "Bacterial small subunit ribosomal RNA", at positions 122 to 354 of the family's 1533-position model. The record is from RNAcentral.